This is a long non-coding RNA of Monomorium pharaonis (pharaoh ant), 3068 nucleotides long. RefSeq lists it as uncharacterized. The transcript has 3 exons. The record is from RefSeq and is a predicted model, not a curated record. NCBI's taxonomy places the organism in Eukaryota, Metazoa, Arthropoda, Insecta, Hymenoptera, Formicidae.
UUAAAACCGGAUUUUUAAAGAUGAUCCUCUUUAGAUUUUGGAGAGUUGAAAUUUUUUGAAAGCGUGAAAUUUUUUUUUAAUAUAUCUGCCAAAACAAUAUUUCUCAGCUGCUAUGACUCAAUUUUAGGAAUUAGAGUAAAUAUAUAUAUAUAUAUAUGUACAUAUGGGGCAUUCUUUGUCAAGCGGGCCACCCGCCGUUCCAAAAUUGUAUUUGACGUAGAAGAACCAUCUUGCACACAAAUUUAGUUACAGGCAAGAGCUAUCAAAAGCCAUGUGCGCUUUUAAAAAAUUCAAAAUGGCGGAGCUAAUAUGGCGGAUAUAAGAGUGCAAAAUGUAAAAUAGUUCAUAGAUUUACUUCAAUUCUGUUUUCUAAGAGUUUUCGAGGAUGCUAAUUACGAAACUGCUGUCAAAUUUUAAAAAUUAAAAAUGGCUGAUUCAAUAUGGCGGAUAUAAAAGUGUAAAAUGUAGAAUAGUUUACACAAUUACUUAAAUCUUGUUUACUGUUCACUGUUGAGAAACAGUGUAGUGUAAAAUAUAAGUCAAAUGUCGCGUCUGGAAUAUGUCUGAAGAGAGAUCGCUUGAUUACACGCGAAAAGACAAUCAAGCAGUAGCGUCACUUCUAAACAAAUGAAUAUCUCGCGCGUCUCCGUCACGGAUAUAGGAAUGUAGAAUUGAAUUUUUCAAAACCGCACAUGCCUUUCGAUAGCUCUUGCCUGUAACUAAAUUUGUGUGCAAGAUGGUUCUUCUACGUCAAAUACAAUUUUGGAACGGCGGCCCGCUUGACAAAGAAUGCCCCAUAUGUACAUAUAUAUAUAUAUUCACUUUAAUUCCUAAAAUUGAGUCAUAGCAGCUGAGAAAUAUUGUUUUGGCAGAUAUAUUUAAAAAAAAUUUCACGCAACUCUCCAAAAUCUAAAGAGGAUCAUCUUUAAAAAUCCGGUUUUAACUAAUUAAUGUUUUCAGAAGGAUUCGUAGUUCGCUUGCUGAUCCGUACAAACGUGCGAUUUCUCUCUCUACACUUUGGCUUAUUAUUCAACUGCUGACUUUGAUACUCAACUAAGUGAAUCGGCUUAUCCAUAUCUUUUUUCUAUCAUAUCUUCUCAAGCUGAAAUUGAAGAUCUGCAAUCUAUUACAUCUAGAUUUUAUGUAUUAAGCGACCGUCUUCGACUUGAGCACAUUUCUCUUAUGUACGCAGUACCACCAUUUUCAAAUCACCACCACGUGGAAAACUUGAGAAAUUAUUCGAAUAAUUUUCAUCAUCUAUAUAUACUAUUCGAGGACGAUUUGAUUUGAGAUGGCAUCAUUAAUUUAAUUAUCUAACUUUCAGGUAUUUUUGCUUCUAACAGUAGCAGUCCUAAUCAUGCAUUCUUAAACCUUACCAGCUUGAAGGCUUUAUCACCCAAUGAGAUCAGAAUUUACACAGAUGGCUCUAGAUCCACUACUGAUGGGAUUUAUAAGGUUGGUAGCUCUAUAUGGAUUCCUUGCCUCGGGCUUACUAUCAAGUUUAAGCUCAAUAAUUUGAUCAGUUCAUUUGCGGCUGAAACCUUUGCUAUUUUAAAGGCCAUUAAUUUCAUAAUUAAUAGUAACUAUGAAUUUGCUAAUAUUUGCACUGACUCUCUUAGUUGUUUGAAUGCUCUUGAAUCGGGAGAUUUUCAACCUUUCCCGCUCUGUAAUUUGGUAAGAGACAUUAAAGUUAAAUUAAACUAUGCAUUGAUCCUCUCUAAAUCCAUUAGAUUUUCAUGGUGCCCUGUUCAUAAGAGAAUUUUAGGCAAUGAGAAGGCUGAUGUAGCAGCCAAAAAAGCGUCGAUUCUCAAUUCUAUUCCAUCUAACAAAGUAGAUUAUAAACAAGCUUUAUUCUCUUAUAGGGAAUCGUAUCUCUUAAUUGAUUUUGCUUUUUUAUCAAGCAUUAAUAUUAAUACGGGUAAUCAAUAUAUGAAUUUUUUAUCUAACAUAAACAUAAACUUUCUGGGUAAAACGAAAUGCAAAUUUAAAAGGAAGGAGAUUGCCUUGCUUAAUAGUUAUUACAGGGUAUCCUUACACUCAAAAUUUUCUAUUUAAGAUCGGUGUGUCAUCAUCUCCUGCUUGUGACUGUGAUUUUGACUCCCAAGAUUUAUUUUGGAUGUGUUUUUUACUUGAAUCACAGAUUAGAGAGCCUUUUGUUAACUUUCUUUUUUCAUUUGGCUUGCAAGCACCUUUUUCGUCUAAUUAUAUAUUAGGUAAUAUCAGCUCAAAUAUCGCUAAGGCCAUCGUUAAAUUUAUUUCAAAUAGUCAACUUAAAAUUUAAUAUCCUUCAACAAAUAUUUUUAGUCGAACUUUAGUCAAAGAAAAAUUGGAAGAUGUCAAAUAUGCUGAAACUAAUUAAUAAUUGGUUCGACAUCCUUAAUACUCAAUCGAAAUUCGGACAGCAUAGUGGCUUACAUGCCUCCGGAGUGGAUCUGGACCAAUAAAAUCGAAUUCUUGAGAAUAUGAACGAAUUUAUUUUAAAAAUAAGAGUAGUCAAUAAAACAUGCCUCAUGCCAUUUCAAAGACAUAUUAUUGACUAAUAACUCACUGAAACAACUUUUAGUGUGCAUUAAAGACAAAUACUCAGAUGAAAAUUUUCAACCACAGUACAUAAUAACCCAAAAACUGUGCCACUAUAUUUUGGGAAACUUUUGUUCCUAUCUAUGAGCAAAUAGCCACCCAUCGCCCAUAGAAUUUAGAAACGGUUUGAAAUGAAUAUUCUUGAUAGACAUUCCGAACACGCUAUUUCUGUGAGAAGAAACAGAUAUUGAUAAUAUCUCAGCCCCACUAUUUGAUUUAAACGAUGUCUAUUCUGAGUCCUUGCAAAUCACAUAGCUUCAAUGAAACGGAAAAGAGUUAGAGGAGGAAGCUGCACUUUUCUUAGGGAACAGCAAUUUUCAAGCAAGCCAAAAAGAGACUAAAAGAGAAAACGAAAAAAGACUUGAUAGUGAUGAUAUUUCGAUUAAAUGCAAAUUCUUUAAAUCUUGGUAAUUUUUGAUAACUAUGUCCCGUUCAAGACUUCAGGGGCAAGUGUGAAAUGGACAAUUUAUUAUUACUAUUAUUAAUAU